RNAcentral lists this ribosomal RNA (268 nucleotides) under uncultured bacterium. RNAcentral describes it as "partial 16S ribosomal RNA". It matches the Rfam family "Bacterial small subunit ribosomal RNA", at positions 8 to 283 of the family's 1533-position model. The record is from RNAcentral.
AGAGUUUGAUCCUGGCUCAGGACGAACGCUGGCGGCGUGCCUAACACAUGCAAGUCGAACGAAGACCAUAGAGGAGCUUGCUUUAAUAUGGUUUUAGUGGCGGACGGGUGAGUAACGCGUGAGGACUUGUCGAGUACAGGGGGACAACAGGUGGAAACGUCUGCUAAUACCCCAUAAGCCUUCGGGUAAAAGGAGCGAUCCGGUACACGAGAGACUCGCGUUCUAUCAGCUAGUAGGUGGGGUAACGGCCCACCCAGGCCAAGACGGA